UACGGAGGGUGCGAGCGUUGUUCGGAAUUAUUGGGCGUAAAGCGCACGUAGGCGGCCCGUUAAGUCUCUUGGUGAAAGGCCGGGGCUCAACCCCGAGCAUGCCGGGGAUACUGGGGGGCUGGAGACAGGCAGAGGCCAGCGGAAUUCCGGGUGUAGCGGUGGAAUGCGUAGAGAUCCGGAAGAACACCGGUGGCGAAGGCGGCCUUCUGGACGGUGACUGACGCUGAGACGCGAAAGCGUGGGGAGCAAACCGG
Molecule: ribosomal RNA, 254 nt
Filed under: uncultured bacterium
Lineage: Bacteria
Description: partial 16S ribosomal RNA
Rfam family: Bacterial small subunit ribosomal RNA
Source: RNAcentral